RNAcentral lists this ribosomal RNA (460 nucleotides) under uncultured bacterium. RNAcentral's name for it is "partial 16S ribosomal RNA". It matches the Rfam family "Bacterial small subunit ribosomal RNA", at positions 338 to 795 of the family's 1533-position model. The record is from RNAcentral.
CCUACGGUGGGCAGCAGUUAGGAAUAUUGGUCAAUGGCCGUAAGGCUGAACCAGCCAAGUCGCGUGAAGGAAGAAGGAUCUAUGGUUUGUAAACUUCUUUUAUAGGGGAAUAAAGGUAUCCACGUGUUGAUAUUUGCAUGUACCCUAUGAAUAAUCAUCGGCUAACUCAGUGCCAGCAGCCGCGGUAAUCCGGAGGAUGCGAGCGUUAUCCGGAUUUAUUGGGGUUAAAGGGUGCCUAGGUAGUUUUUUAAUUCAGCGUGGAAAGUUUGUGGCUCAACCAUAAAAUUGCAGUUGAAACUGGAAGACUUGAGUGUGUUUGAGGUAGGCGGAAUGCGUGGUGUAGCGGUGAAAUGCAUAGAUAUCACGCAGAACGCCGAUUGCGAAGGCAGCUUACUAAGCCAUAACUGACACUGAAGCACGAAAGCGUGGGGAUCAAACAGGAUUAGAUACCCCAGUAGUC